This 436-nucleotide long non-coding RNA is filed under the name Ursus maritimus (polar bear). RNAcentral's name for it is "lncRNA (ENSUMAG00000019093.1)". The record is from RNAcentral. Lineage: Eukaryota; Metazoa; Chordata; Mammalia; Carnivora; Ursidae.
AUCAUCGUGGAAACCGGAACUGAGAGGCUGCAUUUAAAAUAAAGUGGGCCUUUGGGAGCCAUGGAUUUCAGGAUGAUUAUCACUAUCUCUAGAGAAAUUAAUUACAGGAAAAUAGCAGUUACCACUGUGGAGCAAGCUGCGAUGCAGUAUUGAUUGGACAGAACCUCCACUUCAGCGAUGUCCGUCUCAAGUGGCUCCACGUGAUUUCUGCACUGCAAAAUAAAGCCAAACUCUGGAAACAAAAAAAGCAAAACAAAACAAAAGUCAUAGGAUUGCUUCUGGUUGCAGAGCCAUCAAGUAGAUGAGAGAAAUAAUGUGCACACCCAGGCCUUCUGAUCGCUAGUCCAGUGUUUGUGUCACAGCGCCAGUGAUUUCUAGGGACUUAUUCCUGGAACCUUCUUCCUCCCAAAACAGAAGACAGGAUAGGAUCAGCUCC